This 497-nucleotide ribosomal RNA is filed under the name uncultured bacterium. RNAcentral's name for it is "partial 16S ribosomal RNA". It matches the Rfam family "Bacterial small subunit ribosomal RNA", at positions 28 to 507 of the family's 1533-position model. The record is from RNAcentral.
GAUGAACGCUGGCGGCGUGCCUAAUACAUGCAAGUCGAGCGAACGGACGAGAAGCUUGCUUCUCUGAUGUUAGCGGCGGACGGGUGAGUAACACGUGGAUAACCUACCUAUAAGACUGGGAUAACUUCGGGAAACCGGAGCUAAUACCGGAUAAUAUUUUGAACCGCAUGGUUCAAAAGUGAAAGACGGUCUUGCUGUCACUUAUAGAUGGAUCCGCGCUGCAUUAGCUAUAUGGUAAGGUAACGGCUUACCAAGGCAACGAUGCAUAGCCGACCUGAGAGGGUGAUCGGCAACACUGGAACUGAGACACGGUCCAGACUCCUACGGGAGGCAGCAGUAGGGAAUCUUCCGCAAUGGGCGGCAGCCUGACGGAGCAACGCCGCGUGAGUGAUGAAGGUCUUCGGAUCGUAAAACUCUGUUAUUAGGGAAGAACAUAUGUGUAAGUAGCUGUGCACAUCUUGACGGUACCUAAUCAGAAAGCCACGGCUAACUACGUG